This 391-nucleotide ribosomal RNA is filed under the name uncultured bacterium. RNAcentral's name for it is "bacterial SSU rRNA". It matches the Rfam family "Bacterial small subunit ribosomal RNA", at positions 28 to 420 of the family's 1533-position model. The record is from RNAcentral.
GACGAACGCUGGCGGCGUGCUUAACACAUGCAAGUCGAGCGGUAAGGCCCUUUCGGGGGUACACGAGCGGCGAACGGGUGAGUAACACGUGGGUGACCUGCCCUCAGCUCUGGGAUAAGCCCGGGAAACUGGGUCUAAUACUGGAUAUGACUCCACGGUGCAUGCCGUGGGGUGGAAAGCCUUGUGCGGCUGAGGAUGGGCCCGCGGCCUAUCAGCUUGUUGGUGGGGUGAUGGCCUACCAAGGCGACGACGGGUAGCCGGCCUGAGAGGGCGACCGGCCACACUGGGACUGAGACACGGCCCAGACUCCUACGGGAGGCAGCAGUGGGGAAUCUUGCGCAAUGGGCGAAAGCCUGACGCAGCGACGCCGCGUGAGGGAUGACGGCCUGGU